Molecule: long non-coding RNA, 421 nt
Organism: Tupaia belangeri chinensis (Chinese tree shrew)
Lineage: Eukaryota; Metazoa; Chordata; Mammalia; Scandentia; Tupaiidae
Exons: 3
Source: RefSeq, a predicted model, not a curated record
GUUUGCUUUCUGAGAUGGCUGCAUAGCUUUCAUCUUGUGAAUUCCUGUCACAAGGUGAGGAGUUACAGGCUCAGAAAGGAAAAAUCAUUUGCCUGAGGACCCACACUAGAAGCUGAGGAAGCUGCAAUUUAAAUCAGAGGGCAGUGCCUCAGAUAUCAGGCUGGACCCAGGGCCAGCUGGAACUAGAGCUGGGGACUUCGCUAGAGAGACCGCACCAGCCUGAGGCCCAGGAGAAAUUAAACUAGGCUGCCCUUUGAAUACUGUAAGUGACAUUGGGGAAUACCCAGGGAUGGACUGUGGGACUUCACCCUACUGUUAAAAGUAUAUUAUACUACAGUAAUAUAUUGUGUUCAUGUCUAACAAUUUGAGUUGUAUGAUAUUCUUUGAUACAGGUUGGCCAUUAAGGCUUGCAAGUCUCUAG